AUAUUGUCAGGCCUCUGAGCCCAAGCCAAGCCAUCGCAUCCCCUGUGACUUGCAUGUAUAUGCCCAGAUGGCCUAAAGUAACUGAAGAAUCACAAAAGAAGUGAAAAUGCCCUGCCCCACCUUAACUGAUGACAUACCACCCCCCAAAAAUUUUCACCGCCCCCACACUUCAACACUAUUUUGUUUUAUUUUUCUUAUUAAUAUAAGAAGGCAGGAAUGUCAGGCCUCUGAGCCCAAGCCAAGCCAUCGCAUCCCCUGUGACUUGCAUGUAUAUGCCCAGAUGGCCUGAAGCAACUGAAGAAUCACAAAAGAAGUGAAAAUGCCCUGCCCCACCUUAACUGAUGACGUUCCACCACAAAAGAAGUGUAAAUGGCCGGUCCUUGCCUUAAGUGAUGACAUUACCUUGUGAAAUUCCUUCUCCUGGCUCAUCCUGCCUCAAAAGCUCCCCCACUGAGCACCUUGUGG
RNAcentral lists this long non-coding RNA (465 nucleotides) under Homo sapiens (human). RNAcentral's name for it is "HSALNT0328648". The record is from RNAcentral. Lineage: Eukaryota; Metazoa; Chordata; Mammalia; Primates; Hominidae.